RNAcentral lists this unclassified non-coding RNA (253 nucleotides) under uncultured Ascomycota. RNAcentral's name for it is "sequence contains 5.8S rRNA gene, ITS2, 28S rRNA gene". The record is from RNAcentral. Lineage: Eukaryota; Fungi; Ascomycota.
AACGCACAUUGCGCCCCUUGGUAUUCCAUGGGGCAUGCCUGUUCGAGCGUCAUUUGUACCCUCAAGCUCUGCUUGGUGUUGGGUGUUUGUCCUCUCCAUUGCGAUUAGGACUCGCCUUAAAGUAAUUGGCAGCCAGUGUAUUGGUCUUGAAGCGCAGCACAAUUUGCGAUUCUUGCUAAUCAUCACAGGCAUCCACAAAGCCUUUUUUAACACUUUUGACCUCGGAUCAGGUAGGGAUACCCGCUGAACUUAA